RNAcentral lists this ribosomal RNA (468 nucleotides) under uncultured bacterium. Its description in RNAcentral is "partial 16S ribosomal RNA". It matches the Rfam family "Bacterial small subunit ribosomal RNA", at positions 28 to 507 of the family's 1533-position model. The record is from RNAcentral.
GACGAACGCUGGCGGCGUGCCUAACACAUGCAAGUCGAACGGAAAGGCCCUGCUUUUGUGGGGUGCUCGAGUGGCGAACGGGUGAGUAACACGCGAGUAACCUGCCCUUGACUUUGGGAUAACUUCAGGAAACUGGGGCUAAUACCGGAUAGGAGCUCCUGCAGCACGGUGGGGGUUGGAAAGUUUCGGCGGUUGGGGAUGGACUCGCGGCUUAUCAGCUUGUUGGGGGGGUAGUGGCUUACCAAGGCUUCGACGGGUAGCCGGCCUGGGAGGGUGACCGGGCACAAUGGGCCUGAGGUACGGCCCAGACUCCUACGGGAGGCAGCGGUGGGGAGUAUUGCGCAGUGGGCGGAAGCCUGAUACAGCGGCGCCGCGUGCGUAAAGACGGCCUUCGGGUUAUAAACCGCUUUCGCCUGUGACGAAGCGUGAGUGACGGUAAUGGGUAAAGAAGCACCGGCUAACUACGUG